UUAAAAAAAAAAAAAAAAAGUUGGAAUGAUACAGAGAAGAUUAGCAUGGCCCCUGUGCAAGGAUGACAUGUAAAUUUGUGAAGCGUUCCAUAAAUUA
Molecule: small nuclear RNA, 97 nt
Filed under: Catagonus wagneri (Chacoan peccary)
Lineage: Eukaryota; Metazoa; Chordata; Mammalia; Artiodactyla; Tayassuidae
Source: RNAcentral